UAGGACUUGGUGUAAUGGGUAGCACAGAGAAUUUUGGAUUCUCAGGGGUAGCUUCAAUUCCUUAGUUCUAG
Molecule: transfer RNA, 71 nt
Filed under: Macaca fascicularis (crab-eating macaque)
Lineage: Eukaryota; Metazoa; Chordata; Mammalia; Primates; Cercopithecidae
Also listed under: 2 other names
Rfam family: tRNA
About the family: Transfer RNA (tRNA) molecules are approximately 80 nucleotides in length. Their secondary structure includes four short double-helical elements and three loops (D, anti-codon, and T loops).
Source: Rfam by way of RNAcentral